This is a long non-coding RNA of Gadus chalcogrammus (walleye pollock), 1332 nucleotides long. RefSeq lists it as uncharacterized. The transcript is spliced from 3 exons. The record is from RefSeq and is a predicted model, not a curated record. NCBI's taxonomy places the organism in Eukaryota, Metazoa, Chordata, Actinopteri, Gadiformes, Gadidae.
CGAGGACGACGAGGAGGACGAGGAGGACGAGGAGAACGAGGAAGAGGAAGAGGAAGACAAGAAGGUGCUCAAAGAGGACCGAAUCGGACAAAUGAGAUCCGCGCAACACUGGUUGACCACGUUGUCAACCACGGCCUGACGCUGAGGGAGGCUGGACUGCGAGUACAGCCAAAUAUAAGCCAAUAUACAGUGGCAAGUGUGAUGAGAACAUUUCGACUGGAAAAUAGGUCUCAAAAUCAACACUGGCACGCAUCCUAAAAAAGAAACGUAUUCAAAUGAAGCAAAUUUAUCGAGUGCCUUUCGAGCGCAAUUCCGAAAGGGUAAAACGACUGCGGCAUGAUUAUGCAGAGAGAGUUUUACGAAUGGACGGAGAGGAGAUCCAGCAUGAGUUCAUUUACGUAGAUGAGGCUGGGUUCAACCUGACGAGAACACGAAGGAGGGGAAGAAACAUCAUUGGCCACAGGGCUAUAGUCAAUGUCCCAGGGCAACGUGGGGGUAAUAUAACACUCUGUGCAGCCAUUACACAGAAUGGGGUCCUCCACCGCCAUGCCCAUAUGGGCGCUUACAACACAGCACUCAUACUUACAUUCUUGGACCAAUUGCGCAACAUAACAGCAGCAAAUCAAAUAAAUCAUAUGCAAUACAUUGUUGUCUGGGACAAUGUGUCUUUCCAUCGCUCUGCUCUGGUUCAGAACUGGUUUCAGCAACAUCCACAUUUCACCGUCUUAUAUCUUCCACCAUACUCUCCAUUCCUCAACCCUAUAGAAGAGUUUUUCUCGGCAUGGCGGUGGAAGGUAUAUGAUCUCCGUCUCCAGGCUGAGGUACCCCUCAUCCAAGCCAUGGAGGAGGCCUGUGACCAGAUGGAGGUAGCAGCAAUGCAAGGAUGGAUUCGUCAUUCAAGACGUUUCUUUCCAAGGUGUCUUGCUAAUGACAACAUUGCCUGUGAUGUUGAUGAAAUUCUCUGGCCAGAUCCAGCUAGGCGAAGAGACAAUGUCUAGUUGUUGUUUUUUAACUUGCAAUACGUAAAGUGACGUUUGAUUACAGUAUUAUGAAUCUCUAUGUCAACAUUUUGGGCGUGUUGAGAAAUAAAUGAGUUUCUUCAGUCUGCAACAUUGGUCUUGUGUAUUGUUUGGUGAAUUUACAUUAUAUUUGUACUUUGUUGAUAGUAGCCUACUCUAAUCAUAGGGAAGUAGAAGUGCUAAAAGUGUUUUAGGUUUAUCACAGCAGAGUGUAACUCGUGCAAACAGAGUAUAGUAAUGUGAAACGUGUGUGUUUCAUAUAGUAACAAAGUGUGGUUUUUAAAAAGAAGUGUAUAGUUUUUACAGGAGUGUU